RNAcentral lists this long non-coding RNA (5389 nucleotides) under Sus scrofa (pig). RNAcentral describes it as "lncRNA (ENSSSCG00005003818.1)". Lineage: Eukaryota; Metazoa; Chordata; Mammalia; Artiodactyla; Suidae. The record is from RNAcentral.
GGGGCGUGCUGACAAAUUUAUCUGUGAACACUUGAAUACACUUGGCUCUCCAUGUCCAUGAGUUCCGCAUCUGCAGAUUCAACCAACCAGAGAAUGAAAACAUUUCCAGAAAAAAAAAAGAAUUCCAGAAGGUUCCAAAAAGUAAAACUUGAAUUUGUCAAGGUUACAAACUAUGUUGUAUUUACAGCUGUUUACGUAUCAUUUACAUUGUAUUAAUGGUAGUAUCAGUAAUCUAGAGAUGAUUUAUAGAUAUGGGUAGGAUGUACUGUUAAUAUACAAAUACCUUACCAUUUUAUGUAAGGGACUUCAGCAUCUGCCGGUUUUGUUGUGUUGGGACUGAAAGUCCUGGAAUCAGCCCCAUGGAUUCCAAGGUAUGUCUGUAUGUUAAGACAAUGGAGAAGAGGAAACAUUGGCGGACUCUUAGAAUGAUGGCCUAAAUACUUUUGUAAUUUGGAGCCCAGAUUUCAUGAUUUGAGUUUCAUGUUGGAAACUUAAUAGAGAAAGAAGGUCAUUGUUCUCUAAAGUUUUUUCUUAAGGCAAGACAACAUUCAUUAUCACUGUAUGACAUACUUCUCUGUGCUUUUAAGACGAAGUACUGGGAGUUCCUGUCGUGGCUCAGUGGAAACAAAUCUGACUAGUAUCCAUGAAGACGCAGGUACAAUUCCUGGCCUUGCUCAGUGGUUAAGGAUCUGGCGUUGCUGUGAGCUGUGGUAUAGGUUGCAGACGCAGCUCAGAUCUGGCAUUACUGUAGCUGUGGUGUAGGCGGCAGCUGUAGCUCUGAUUCGACCCCUAGCCUGGGAACCUCCCUAUGCUGUGGGUGUGGCCCUAAAAUAUAUAUAAAAUAAAAUGAAGUACUUCCUUUCUAAAGAAGUGUUGUAUGUCAGGAUUCCCGUCGUGGCACAGUGGAAACGAAUCGAACCAUGAGGUUUCGGGUUCGAUCCCUGGCCCUGCUCAGUGGGUUAAGGAUCUGCUGUUGUCUCGACCUGUGGUGUAGGUCACAGAUUCGGCUUGGAUCUGGUGGUAUUGUGCCUCUGCUGGCCUCUGCCAGAGCCACAGCAACACCAGAUCCAAGCCGUGUCUUUGACCUACACCACAGGCAACGCCGGAUUCUUAACCCACUGAGCGAGGCCAGGGAUCGAGCCUGCAACCUCAUGGUUCCUAGUUGGAUUCACUGUGUCUUUUUUUUUAGAUUCCACAUGUAAGUGAUAGCAUUUGAUGUUGGUGUCUCAUUGUCUGACUGACUUCACUUAGCAUGAUAAUUUCUAGGUCCAUCCGUGUUGCUGCAAAUGCCAUGAUUUCUUUCCUUUUAAUGGCUGAGUAAUAUUCUAUUGUGUAUAUUAGAGUCCUUCAGGGGUUCUGCCCAGGGCAAGUGUCUCUGUUUUUAAUAUUUGUUAAUUGAAGUAUGGCACACAUAAUGCAAAGUACACAGUUCAUUAGGGAUGAUGAAUUAUAAAGUGAACACAGAACGCACUGCUGUUGUGUUUUGAAAAAGCUUCUUUGGUGAUUAUGAUAAGCUUUCCUUUAAAAGAAAUCACUGGACUUGAGGCUGUAGGUAAUCUCAUGUCUUUUACAGUUCUUUUCUAGAGAGAAAUCAGCAGAAACAGUGGUAGAAGAAAUAUGACCAGUCACAGAAACUUGUCUUGAAUAGGUUUAUUGGGCUUAUAUAUUAAGUCUUUUCUUCUGAUAUUUUUCUUCUUCCUCUUUGCCUUUUUUUCUUUCUGUCUAGGUCCUGGAUGGAAUGGAGAGGGGUCCUACUGAACCUCUGUCUUUUCUGAGAGUGGUCAGAGUGUUCUUAAACAGGUCUGUUGAUUCUAUAGUAUACAAAUGCAAGUUUUUGAAUUAUAAAAGAUUUGGUUUCAACCUAAACAAAAGAUUGAAUUAGAAAUAGACUUCACUUUUUAAAAAAGAAAGUGUUUUUAUUUCAUUGUCCACAGAGUAUUUUACUUUGGCAAGCUGAAUUUGGCCUGUGGAUUGAACUCUGAGUGACUAAAUAAGAUCUGCUUAGUAGGAAAGCAGUUGAAUCAACCUUUAUUAGUUAUGUUGAAUAUAUGUAGUAUGGAAGAAUUCUUUAUUGGUUCCAUGGAAAGUACCAAGAAAAGAUAAAAAGGUGAAUAUCUCAGUUGUCUGUGAUUCUGUCUAAGAAGGAAAGUAAUUAUUUGGCCUCUUUCUAAUAUUCUCAGAAUUUAUAACAUUGGAGAAAAACAAUCAAAGCUACCUUUACCUUGCAAAUCUCUGAUUCAGGGAAGGGCAUGUAUAUAUUGGUUUGGUUUUGUUUACUUUUCAUCUCCCUCUUUCUGUGUCACCAUGAAUGAACUUUAUCAUUAUUCAGACAGAUAAAAACUCAUGUUUAGUAAUUUCCGAAACUUGUCUUUACAUUGGAAUCACCUCUGGAGCUUUGUAAAGUACCGAUGCCUUUGUCCCCUUUCCCCAUCACACCCUUCACUCCAGAUUGUGAUGUAAUUGGGGGUAUGGCCUAGGAAUUUUUAAAAGAUCCUAAAGUGAUCCUGCUCUUUGGUGAUUCCCAAGGUGCAGACAAGGUUGGGAGUCACUGCUCUAGCUAGUUAAAGCAGAUCUGGCUACUACACAACUUGUGACUUUUUUUGCGUAAAUAUUUGAAUAAAUACAUAAAUAAGCAGAUAAAUAUUUUGAUUUAAGUAUCCUGUACUUUAAACCUAAGUUCUUACUAGAAUGUAAGCUACAUAAGAGCAGGUAGCAUGUCUCCAUUUUCCUCAAUAUUAUAUCUUUAUCAUUUAGAACAACACCUGGCAUGUAUUGUACGGUUAAAUACUUGUUGAAUGAAUGAAUGAACCUGUCAAAGUAUGCUUUUACCUAAUAUUUGAGUGGUCCGAGAUAUAGAGUGGAAGUGAAGAGCUCAGCCUCUGUAACUGACUGGGCUCCAGUCACAGUUCUGUCACUUUCUAGCUAUAUGUGACCUUAAGUUACUUCUCUGAGUGUCCUUAUUUGUAUAAUGGGGGUAACAAUCUAUUUUGUGGGCUUAUUGGGGGGACUAAUUUAGGUAAAAAUCCUGAGUGCUUAAAACAGUGCCUGGUGAAUAGUAGUGUUCUAUAACUUUUAGGUAUGGUAGAGUUCAAGACACUCAGAAUUCUCUGUAAUAGUUAUUCUGGAGUAAUUUAACUAUAGGAUGUUGUGUGAGGCUAAGGUAGAAUAAUGGAACAGCUAAAUUAGAUGUAGUUAAAGGCUUGACAAAGAAGAUGACUUUUUUUUUUUUUGGUCAACUUAAUGAGAUAUAAUUUAUAUACAAUAAACUACCUCCAUUUAAAAGUGAAACAUGUUUCACUGAGCUUUGACAGAUAUAUUUAUUAGUUUACAGUAUUUGUUAUGAAACUGCUGCCCCAAGCAAAUUACAGAAAACUUCCACCUUCCUAAAUAUUCCUUAUAUUCCUUUGCAGUUUGUUCCAUUCAAUGCCUCCAUCCAUAUAUUGCUUUUCAUUUUCUAGAAUUUUAUGUAAAUGCAUUCAUACACUAUAUUCUUUUUUGUGUCUAGCUCUUUCACUCAGCAGAAUGAUUUUUGGUACUUAUCCAUUUGUUGCAUGUAUCAGUGGUUCAUUCCAUUUGAGUGUGGAGUAGUGUUUUGUUGUAUGGAUAUAACAUGCUUGUUUAUUCACAUGUGAUAGACAUUUGAGUUGUUUCCAGGUUUUGAUGAUUGUGAAUAAAGCUACUGUAAAGCAUUUUUGUACAAGUCUUUGAAUAGACAUAUUUUCACUUAUUUUUUAGGAAAUCCCUAGCAGUACUGCUGGGUUAUAUGGUAUAUCUAAUUUUUUUUUAAAUCUAACUUGUAAAAAAACUGCCAAACCAUUUAAAAGGAGGUGAACUUUCAGCANNNNNNNNNNNNNNNCUGUUAGUUAUCUGUUGUUGCAUGACAAACUGCACAAAUUUAGCAGCUUAUAACAGCAGACAUUUUUUUUUCCUUUUUACCACUGCACCUGUAGCAUACGGAAGUUCCUGGGCUAGGGUUUGAAUUGGAGCUGCAGCUGCUGGCCUACACCCAAGCCACAGCAAUAAUGGAUCCAAGCUGUGUCUGUGACUUAGACUGCAGUUUGCAGCAACACUGGAUCCUUUACCCACUGAGCAAGGGCAGGGAUCGAAACCCGCAUGCUCACAGAUACUAUGUCGGGUUCUUAACCUGCUGGAACUCCAUAAUAAACAUUUAUUAUGGCACAAUUUCCAUGGGUCAAGAAUCUAGGUACAGCUUAGAUGGGCCCUCUGUUUCUGGGUCUCUUACAGUCAGCAGUCAAGGUGUCAGCCAAGAGUGGAGUCUCAUCUCAGUGCUUAACUGAAGAAGGAUUUGCUUCUAAGCGUAAUUGGUUGUUGGCAGAAUUAACUUCCUCAAGGGAUGUUAGAUUAAAGGCCUUGGUUUCUCACUGGCUGUUUGGCUGAGGCUGUUGUCAGUUCCCUUGCCUUGUGGCCUCUCCAACAUGGCAAGCUGAGAAGGCAAUAGAGUCUCCUAGGGAGAUGGAAGCCUUAUCCUUUUAUAAACUAAUCAUGGACGUGCCGUCCCAUCACCUUUGCCAUAUUCUGUUGAUUAGGAGUAAGUCACUAGGCCAGCCCACACUUGGGAAUGGAAGGCAGGGGAGAUUACACUAGGGCUUGAAUUCCAGGCAACUGAGAUAAUUGGUGGCCAUCUUAGAAGUCCAUCUACCACAGAAGACAUGGCUUAGUGCCAAACUGGAACUAGAUAGGACAUUAAGAGGUGUGGAGAGAUGGUUAGGAGUAGCUUGUAAAUUUUUCCUUACCGUCCUUGUAUCAAACCAUGUAUCUUUCUUUCUUCUGUCACAUCAGCUUCUCUCCUCUUCAAGAACAGAGACAUAACACAAAGGUCAUUCUCAUAAGGAGGUUUUAAUCUUGAGUAGGUUUUGGGUGUGUGUUUUUUUAAAAAAGAUUCAGUUAAGGCCUGUCCCUGUACUACUUAGCAUUUCUAUAUGUUUUUGAUUUUGUUUUUUAAUUUUAUGGCCGCACCUGUGGCAUAUGGAAGUUCCUGGGCAUCUGUGGCAAUGCCAGAUCCUUUAACCCACUGCACUGGGCCUGGGAUCAAACCUGAGAGUGACCCAUGCUGCUACAGUUGGAUUCUUAACCCACUGGAUCACAGCAGAAACGUGUGUGUGUGUGUGUGUUCUCCUUUUUAGGGCCGUACCUAAGGCAUAUGGAAGUUUUCAGGCUAGGAGUCAAAUCCGAGCUACAGCUGUCAGCCUAUGCCACAGCAACACAGGACCCAAGCUACAUCUUCGCCCUAUGCUGCAGCUUGCGGCAAUGCUGGAUCCUUAACCUGCUGAGCGAGGCCAGGGAUUGAACCUACAUCCUCAUGGAUACUAGUUAGAUUCUUAAUCUGCUGAGCCACAGCAGGAACUCCUAUAUAUGUAUUUAAAAAAAA